RNAcentral lists this ribosomal RNA (438 nucleotides) under uncultured bacterium. RNAcentral's name for it is "bacterial SSU rRNA". It matches the Rfam family "Bacterial small subunit ribosomal RNA", at positions 81 to 518 of the family's 1533-position model. The record is from RNAcentral.
UACUUGGUGGCGACCGGCGCACGGGUGAGUAACGCGUAUGCAACCUACCUAUCAGAGGGGAAGUAACCCGGCGAAAGUCGGACUAAUACCGCAUAAAACAGGGCACCGCAUGGUGAUAUUUGUUAAAGAAAUUCGCUGAUAGAUGGGCAUGCGUUCCAUUAGGUAGUUGGUGAGGUAACGGCUCACCAAGCCGACGAUGGAUAGGGGAACUGAGAGGUUGGUCCCCCAUACUGGUACUGAGACACGGACCAGACUCCUACGGGAGGCAGCAGUGAGGAAUAUUGGUCAAUGGGCGGGAGCCUGAACCAGCUAAGUCGCGUGAAGGAAGAAGGAUCUAUGGUUCGUAAACUUCUUUUGCAGGGGAAUAAAGUGCAGGACGUGUCCUGUUUUGUAUGUACCCUGAGAAUAAGGAUCGGCUAACUCCGUGCCAGCCGCGGC